UACGUAGGGGGCUAGCGUUGUCCGGAAUCAUUGGGCGUAAAGCGCGCGUAGGCGGCCUGAUAAGUCCGGUGUGAAAGUCACAGGCUCAACCUGUGAAUGCCGCUGGAAACUGUCUGGCUAGAGUCCGGAAGGGGCGAGUGGAAUUCCUGGUGUAGCGGUGAAAUGCGCAGAUAUCAGGAGGAACACCAAUGGCGAAGGCAGCUCGCUGGGACGGUACUGACGCUGAGGCGCGAAAGCGUGGGGAGCAAACAGG
This 253-nucleotide ribosomal RNA is filed under the name uncultured bacterium. RNAcentral describes it as "partial 16S ribosomal RNA". It matches the Rfam family "Bacterial small subunit ribosomal RNA", at positions 524 to 776 of the family's 1533-position model. The record is from RNAcentral.